GACGAACGCUGGCGGCGUGCUUAACACAUGCAAGUCGAACGGAAAGGCCCUGCUUUUGUUGGGUGCUCGAGUGGCGAACGGGUGAGUAACACGUGAGUAACCUGCCCUUGACUUUGGGAUAACUUCAGGGAACUGGGGCUAAUACCGGAUAUGAGCUCCUGCUGCAUGGUGGUGGUUGGAAAGUUUCGGCGGUUGGGGAUGGACUCGCGGCUUAUCCGCUUGUUUGUCGGGUAGUUGCGUACCAAGGCUUUGACGGGUAGCCGGCCUGAGAGGGUGACCGGCCACAUUGGGACUGAGAUACGGACCAGACUCCUACGGGAGGCAGCAGGGGGGAGUAUGGCAGAGUGGGCGGAAGCGUGAGGCAGCAACGCCGGGUGCGGGAUGACGGCCUUCGGGUUGUAAACCGCUUUCGCAUGUGACGAAGAGUGAGUGACGGUAAUGGGUAAAGAAGCACCGGCUAACUACGUG
RNAcentral lists this ribosomal RNA (468 nucleotides) under uncultured bacterium. Its description in RNAcentral is "partial 16S ribosomal RNA". It matches the Rfam family "Bacterial small subunit ribosomal RNA", at positions 28 to 507 of the family's 1533-position model. The record is from RNAcentral.